Molecule: small RNA, 609 nt
Filed under: Pan troglodytes (chimpanzee)
Lineage: Eukaryota; Metazoa; Chordata; Mammalia; Primates; Hominidae
Description: processed transcript
Source: RNAcentral
CCUGCCCGAGGUGUAGGGAGGUAUGGUCAGGAUGGCCCCUAAGGUUUCAGCUCCAUCUCGGUUUCUAUGUAUCUCCCAAAGUUUUCUGAGCCUUUCUGAGUCCUGCUUAGAACUAGUUCCUAUCUGCUUAGAACAGCUUGCAAAGAACUCACUCCCAAGGCUGAAAGCAAUGAAAAGUCCUGAAAUUUACUCAGCCUUUCAAGAGAUCCUAAAAGUCAACCCUUUCAGAGACCGUAUCUGCAGAGUGUUCUCCCACAAAGGCGUGUUCUCCUUUGAGGAUGUGCUGGGCAUGGCAUCUGUGUUCAGCGAGCAGGCCUGCCCAAGCCUGAAGAUCGAGUAUGCCUUUCGCAUCUAUGAUUUUAAUGAGAAUGGCUUCAUUGAUGAGGAGGAUCUGCAGAGGAUCAUCCUGCGACUGCUGAACAGUGAUGACAUGUCUGAGGACCUGCUGAUGGACCUCACGAACCACGUCCUGAGUGAGUCGGAUCUGGACAAUGACAACAUGCUGUCCUUCUCAGAGUUUGAACAUGCAAUGGCCAAGUCUCCAGAUUUCAUGAACUCCUUUCGGAUUCACUUCUGGGGAUGCUGAUGUAGCGGCAAAUACCUGAUGUG